CUCUACUAUCUUGCUGCGCUCCCGUCUCGAAAGAACGCCAGAGCCUGGGCAAAGCUCUUCAAGCUUUCUCCUGCCAGAGCAGCUCCUGCUUCAACCGCUUCAAUCAUGGCUGUGGGAACAAAUUGGUCUCAUCUGUCCGUUCUAAGGGGAAGUCUUCACACACGUGGAGUAAAUACCCCUCAGCCUACCGACGGCCUUGAGUCCUGUGGUUACCUUGAACCCAGUUUAGCCUGUCUGCCAAGGUGGUUCACUGGGGUGUGGAAACUGCACACGCGCCAGCUUCUUGGAGUCCCAGAUCCCAAGCCUGGAUCACUCCUAGCUUUACCCUCCUCUGCUGCUCAGGUCAGUGAGUCAAUCACCAAGCAUUGAUUAAACACUUCCAGAUGACUAUGAACGAUCACGCACGUGGUGCUUUGCCCUGUGGUUUCAGAGAAGCCUGGGAAGAUUUGGAUGAAAUGGAACCAGGAGAACAGUUUCUGCAGUAACAUCAGUGUAUAAAGCUGGAGUGCUCUGCUCAGGAUGAUGACCAACCACAGGUCCCUAGGACUUACAAUGAAACCCGGGCCCCUCCAGACCAGAGAGCAGACCCAGACAAGGCUUUGGGGCCUGGCCAAGCAACCAUUUGUUUGCGUGGUUUUGCACGGUCCUUCCAAAGGUUUUGUUUUUCAUCCUUUUUCAGUGGGAAGGGGGAGUGAAUUUGUGCUAAUUGCAUGAAUAAAUAAGUGAACACUACCCUGUCCAGGUUGCCUCCUGGACUUCCUGUUGUAAAGGGAAGUUGCAUUUCAAUGUCUAUUCUCUAGGGUCAUCUCUGGGUUUCUGGCCACUUGGAGGCUGGCUCUUAGGGGCCCUUUUCUUUUAUAAAGUUGUGGCCCGUGGAUUCUCAACUUCUGUUGUUCAGGGCAUCACAUUUUCUUUUCCUAUAGGUAUUAUUGUACCUUUUUCUUAUUUUAUCUCCCUCCCACCCCCGCCUCACUGGCUAGAAAAAAGGAGAAACAAAACCCAUGUAGCUAAUACAGACAGACAAGCAGAAGAAAUUCCUGAAUUGGCCAUGUCCAAAAAUGGGUGUCUCUUCCUUCAUCUUGUGUCCAUCUCCUCCCCAGCAAGAGGUGGCAGCACGGCUUAUCAUUCAUUGGGAAUGGUUGGUUAAGUCUUUCCGAGCUGUUUAUAUUUACAGUGUGGUUGUAAUUGUACAAAUGGUUCUACUGCAGUUGCUCACUUUGUUCUGCAUUAGUUCAUUCAAGUCUUUCCAGGUUUCU
This is a non-coding RNA of Phascolarctos cinereus (koala), 1256 nucleotides long. The record is from RefSeq and is a predicted model, not a curated record. NCBI's taxonomy places the organism in Eukaryota, Metazoa, Chordata, Mammalia, Diprotodontia, Phascolarctidae.